Long non-coding RNA from Ostrinia nubilalis (European corn borer), 1040 nucleotides. RefSeq lists it as uncharacterized. The transcript has 2 exons. The record is from RefSeq and is a predicted model, not a curated record. NCBI's taxonomy places the organism in Eukaryota, Metazoa, Arthropoda, Insecta, Lepidoptera, Crambidae.
GAGGAAGAUGUAAAUCAAAAUUUAUUCCCCUUUUUCAGCCCUAACAAAAACUUUAAGCUAAAAUAAGACUAACUGUGAAAAAAUUUUGUUGAUAUCACGAAAAUUGAAUAUUUUAUAAGCAAAUCAAUAUGGGAACGCGCGAAAACUGAUAGCACCCCUGGAAUACGGGCGAUGACGUCACACCGCUCGUUGGGCAACGACGGACGGGCGGCGCGGGUGCUAGCUGCGCUCUGUAAACUUAUUUUCGUUCAUUUCGAUACAUUUUUUAUUUAUAUUAACCGUAUCUGAUGCCAACCAAAUAAUCUUCCGAAAGUAGAUUUACUUAUGGUUGCGGAUACUUUCAGAAAACAUGCAAAGUACCUAUAUUAUUGCAGAAAUCCAAGUGCUAAAACUUGCAAGAGUUGGACGAUCACGUCCAGUCGUGUUAUAGACUAACUAUCCAACUAUACUAUCGAAUUAUGGACAUAAUGUAAUACUCGUAGGGUAAGUUCAUUUGAAAAGACUAUAUCCGCAGUGUACAGUAAAAACAAGAGUUACUACACCUGAACACAAAGUUAGAGCUACGGCAUAUCAUUGUACAUUUGUUUGUGCUGAAGAUAACGAAUAAAUUGGAAAAUCUGGAAUGCGGAGUUUGUGCAGCAAGCAAUGAAGAAUGCAAACAUACAAUGGCAUUAAUUGGUUUUAAGGUUAUCUAUAUGUAUAGACGUAGUGAAGAUCCCGCUUGUACCGAAGUAGCGUGCUAUUGGAGGAAACCAAAACUGUUGUGCAAGUUGGAUCUCAGCUAAAAUUUAUUAAAGUCAAAGAUGUGAACUAUACAAGGCAGUAUCAAAAAUAUAUGUGUCAGUAGUACUACCACCAUAACCAUCUGACACAAAGAUCAGUCCAUCGGGCUUGAUGAUUUUUUUUGUUCACUUUAAAAAGUUAUUAGUAUACACUUUGUAACUUUCUAUGGAAUCAGUGUACGAUCAUGAAUCGGAAGUAAGGUACAGUCUGUUUUGUCACAGUUAAAACUGGUUUCUAACUCUAUCGAGGGUCGUCAA